UACGGGAGGCAGCAGUGGGGAAUAUUGCACAAUGGGCGCAAGCCUGAUGCAGCCAUGCCGCGUGUAUGAAGAAGGCCUUCGGGUUGUAAAGUACUUUCAGUCGUGAGGAAGGUGUUAAGGUUAAUAACCUUAGCAAUUGACGUUAGCGACAGAAGAAGCACCGGCUAACUCCGUGUCAGCAGCCGCGGUAAUACGGAGGGUGCGAGCGUUAAUCGGAAUUACUGGGCGUAAAGGGCACGCAGGCGGUUAAUUAAGUUGGAUGUGAAAUCCCCGGGCUUAACCUGGGAAUGGCAUUCAAGACUGGUUAGCUAGAGUCUUGUAGAGGGGGUAGAAUUCCAUGUGUAGCGGUGAAAUGCGUAGAGAUGUGGAGGAAUACCGGUGGCGAAGGCGGCCCCUGGGACAAAGACUGACGCUCAUGUGCGAAAGCGUGGGGAGCAAACAGGGAUUAGAUACC
This 454-nucleotide ribosomal RNA is filed under the name uncultured bacterium. RNAcentral's name for it is "bacterial SSU rRNA". It matches the Rfam family "Bacterial small subunit ribosomal RNA", at positions 340 to 786 of the family's 1533-position model. The record is from RNAcentral.